GGGUUGUGAGGUUAAGCGACUAAGCGUACACGGUGGAUGCCCUGGCAGUCAGAGGCGAUGAAGGGCGUGCUAAUCUGCGAUAAGCGCCGGUAAGGUGAUAUGAACCGUUAUAACCGGCGAUACCCGAAUGGGGAAACCCAGUGUGAUUCGUCACACUAUCAUUAACUGAAUCCAUAGGUUAAUGAGGCGAACCGGGGGAACUGAAACAUCUAAGUACCCCGAGGAAAAGAAAUCAACCGAGAUUCCCCCAGUAGCGGCGAGCGAACGGGGAGGAGCCCAGAGCCUGAAUCAGCAUGUGUGUUAGUGGAAGCGUCUGGAAAGGCGCGCGAUACAGGGUGACAGCCCCGUACACAAAAGCGCAUGUGCUGUGAGCUCGAUGAGUAGGGCGGGACACGUGGUAUCCUGUCUGAAUAUGGGGGGACCAUCCUCCAAGGCUAAAUACUCCUGACUGACCGAUAGUGAACCAGUACCGUGAGGGAAAGGCGAAAAGAACCCCGGCGAGGGGAGUGAAAAAGAACCUGAAACCGUGUACGUACAAGCAGUGGGAGCCCCACCACUAAGCCAGUGGUGAACUCCACAUACGCAUCCUUUGCUGAGGAUACGGUUAACGGAGCGAAAGCGACGUUCAACCGCAAAAGAAGCAGAGGGGGCUUAGUGGUGGGGUGACUGCGUACCUUUUGUAUAAUGGGUCAGCGACUUAUAUUCUGUAGCAAGGUUAACCGAAUAGGGGAGCCGGAGGGAAACCGAGUCUUAAUUGGGCGUUAAGUUGCAGGGUAUAGACCCGAAACCCGGUGAUCUAGCCAUGGGCAGGUUGAAGGUUGGGUAACACUAACUGGAGGACCGAACCGACUAAUGUUGAAAAAUUAGCGGAUGACCUGUGGCUGGGGGUGAAAGGCCAAUCAAACCGGGAGAUAGCUGGUUCUCCCCGAAAGCUAUUUAGGUAGCGCCUCGUGAAUUCAUCUCCGGGGGUAGAGCACUGUUUCGGCUAGGGGGCCAUCCCGGCUUACCAACCCGAUGCAAACUGCGAAUACCGGAGAAUGUUAUCACGGGAGACACACGGCGGGUGCUAACGUCCGUCGUGAAGAGGGAAACAACCCAGACCGCCAGCUAAGGUCCCAAAGUCAUGGUUAAGUGGGAAACGAUGUGGGAAGGCCCAGACAGCCAGGAUGUUGGCUUAGAAGCAGCCAUCAUUUAAAGAAAGCGUAAUAGCUCACUGGUCGAGUCGGCCUGCGCGGAAGAUGUAACGGGGCUAAACCAUGCACCGAAGCUGCGGCAGCGACACUCAGGUGUUGUUGGGUAGGGGAGCGUUCUGUAAGCCUGUGAAGGUGUGUCGUGAGGCAUGCUGGAGGUAUCAGAAGUGCGAAUGCUGACAUAAGUAACGAUAAAGCGGGUGAAAAGCCCGCUCGCCGGAAGACCAAGGGUUCCUGUCCAACGUUAAUCGGGGCAGGGUGAGUCGACCCCUAAGGCGAGGCCGAAAGGCGUAGUCGAUGGGAAACGGGUUAAUAUUCCCGUACUUGGUGUUACUGCGAAGGGGGGACGGAGAAGGCUAUGUUGGCCGGGCGACGGUUGUCCCGGUUUAAGCGUGUAGGUGUGUGUUCCAGGUAAAUCCGGUUCACUUUAACACUGAGGCGUGACGACGAGGCACUACGGUGCUGAAGCAACAAAUGCCCUGCUUCCAGGAAAAGCCUCUAAGCAUCAGGUAACACGAAAUCGUACCCCAAACCGACACAGGUGGUCAGGUAGAGAAUACCAAGGCGCUUGAGAGAACUCGGGUGAAGGAACUAGGCAAAAUGGUGCCGUAACUUCGGGAGAAGGCACGCUGACACGUAGGUGAAGUGAUUUACUCAUGGAGCUGAAGUCAGUCGAAGAUACCAGCUGGCUGCAACUGUUUAUUAAAAACACAGCACUGUGCAAACACGAAAGUGGACGUAUACGGUGUGACGCCUGCCCGGUGCCGGAAGGUUAAUUGAUGGGGUCAGCGCAAGCGAAGCUCCUGAUCGAAGCCCCGGUAAACGGCGGCCGUAACUAUAACGGUCCUAAGGUAGCGAAAUUCCUUGUCGGGUAAGUUCCGACCUGCACGAAUGGCGUAAUGAUGGCCAGGCUGUCUCCACCCGAGACUCAGUGAAAUUGAACUCGCUGUGAAGAUGCAGUGUACCCGCGGCAAGACGGAAAGACCCCGUGAACCUUUACUAUAGCUUGACACUGAACAUUGAGCCUUGAUGUGUAGGAUAGGUGGGAGGCUUUGAAGUGUGGACGCCAGUCUGCAUGGAGCCGACCUUGAAAUACCACCCUUUAAUGUUUGAUGUUCUAACGUGGACCCGUAAUCCGGGUUGCGGACAGUGUCUGGUGGGUAGUUUGACUGGGGCGGUCUCCUCCUAAAGAGUAACGGAGGAGCACGAAGGUUGGCUAAUCCUGGUCGGACAUCAGGAGGUUAGUGCAAUGGCAUAAGCCAGCUUGACUGCGAGCGUGACGGCGCGAGCAGGUGCGAAAGCAGGUCAUAGUGAUCCGGUGGUUCUGAAUGGAAGGGCCAUCGCUCAACGGAUAAAAGGUACUCCGGGGAUAACAGGCUGAUACCGCCCAAGAGUUCAUAUCGACGGCGGUGUUUGGCACCUCGAUGUCGGCUCAUCACAUCCUGGGGCUGAAGUAGGUCCCAAGGGUAUGGCUGUUCGCCAUUUAAAGUGGUACGCGAGCUGGGUUUAGAACGUCGUGAGACAGUUCGGUCCCUAUCUGCCGUGGGCGCUGGAGAACUGAGGGGGGCUGCUCCUAGUACGAGAGGACCGGAGUGGACGCAUCACUGGUGUUCGGGUUGUCAUGCCAAUGGCACUGCCCGGUAGCUAAAUGCGGAAGAGAUAAGUGCUGAAAGCAUCUAAGCACGAAACUUGCCCCGAGAUGAGUUCUCCCUGAGACUUAGAGUCUCCUGAAGGAACGUUGAAGACGACGACGUUGAUAGGCCGGGUGUGUAAGCGCAGCGAUGCGUUGAGCUAACCGGUACUAAUGAACCGUGAGGCUUAACCUUACAACGCCGAAG
Molecule: ribosomal RNA, 3028 nt
Filed under: Salmonella enterica subsp. enterica serovar Anatum
Lineage: Bacteria; Pseudomonadati; Pseudomonadota; Gammaproteobacteria; Enterobacterales; Enterobacteriaceae
Description: 23S ribosomal RNA
Rfam family: Bacterial large subunit ribosomal RNA
Source: RNAcentral